GCGGUAACAUAGCUUGCUCAGCCGAUUACAACCCCGUUUGUGGCACUGAUGGGAAGACGUACUCCAACGGCUGCCACUUAAGUAUCGCGCAGAGAUGUGAAGAUUCAAGUCUAAGGGAGUAUUGCAAGGGAAGAUGUGGGGAAUGUGGAUAUGCUUGAGUCUUCAUUAACAUUGGGAAAAACAGUUUCAUAGAUAUACUUUCAUUACCUGUAGGAGAAAUUGUUUAAAAAUACACCAGGUCAACUGCAUCAUUGAUGUACUCUUUCAAGAAUUUCAUUCUGAACUUGCAUCAGAUUUCUACCUUAAAAUAUCUGUACCUUUCAUUGAAUUUAUUUUCUUGUAGCAUUGUAUCAUCUAUGAAAUGAAAACAUAAUAAAGCCAAAUUUUAAAUCCA
Molecule: long non-coding RNA, 394 nt
Organism: Macrobrachium nipponense
Lineage: Eukaryota; Metazoa; Arthropoda; Malacostraca; Decapoda; Palaemonidae
Exons: 2
Source: RefSeq, a predicted model, not a curated record